RNAcentral lists this small RNA (224 nucleotides) under Macleaya cordata. Its description in RNAcentral is "Early nodulin 40". It matches the Rfam family "Early nodulin 40". The record is from Rfam by way of RNAcentral. Lineage: Eukaryota; Viridiplantae; Streptophyta; Magnoliopsida; Ranunculales; Papaveraceae.
AUGGAAAUCAUUUAGCAGGAAUCCAUUAAUGGGUCUUGAAAAGCUUGGGCAUUUGGAGUAAGGGAUUUCAUCAGAACCUCAUCCAAAUUUAUCAGUUUGUCUAUACUUAGCCAUCUGCUCUGCUCUGCUAAAUCUCUUCUCAAGUAAUGCAUUAAUGGCGAAGAUAUAGCGAACCAGUCGGCAAGUCACAGAAUGGCAAAUGAGGGAUCUCAGAUAUGGGUCUU